GGAGAGAUGCCAGAGCGGUUGAACGGGGCGGUCUCGAAAACCGUUGUACAGGCAACUGUACCGAGGGUUCGAAUCCCUCUCUCUCCG
RNAcentral lists this transfer RNA (87 nucleotides) under Cyclobacteriaceae bacterium. Its description in RNAcentral is "tRNA-Ser". It matches the Rfam family "tRNA". From Rfam's summary of the family: Transfer RNA (tRNA) molecules are approximately 80 nucleotides in length. The record is from RNAcentral. Lineage: Bacteria; Pseudomonadati; Bacteroidota; Cytophagia; Cytophagales; Cyclobacteriaceae.